GCGUUGUAGCUCAGUGGUAGAGCAGUUCCGGUUCUCUUGUCGGAAAAGGGCAUGGGUUCAAUUCCCAUCAACUGCGCAA
RNAcentral lists this transfer RNA (79 nucleotides) under Chitinophaga japonensis. Its description in RNAcentral is "tRNA-OTHER". It matches the Rfam family "tRNA". Rfam says of the family: Transfer RNA (tRNA) molecules are approximately 80 nucleotides in length. Their secondary structure includes four short double-helical elements and three loops (D, anti-codon, and T loops). Further hydrogen bonds mediate the characteristic L-shaped molecular structure. tRNAs have two regions of fundamental functional importance: the anti-codon, which is responsible for specific mRNA codon recognition, and the 3' end, to which the tRNAs corresponding amino acid is attached (by aminoacyl-tRNA synthetases). tRNAs cope with the degeneracy of the genetic code in two manners: having more than one tRNA (with a specific anti-codon) for a particular amino acid; and 'wobble' base-pairing, i.e. permitting non-standard base-pairing at the 3rd anti-codon position. Lineage: Bacteria; Pseudomonadati; Bacteroidota; Chitinophagia; Chitinophagales; Chitinophagaceae. The record is from RNAcentral.